Molecule: ribosomal RNA, 445 nt
Filed under: uncultured bacterium
Lineage: Bacteria
Description: partial 16S ribosomal RNA
Rfam family: Bacterial small subunit ribosomal RNA
Source: RNAcentral
CCAGACUCCUACGGGAGGCAGCAGUAGGGAAUAUUGCUCAAUGGGGGAAACCCUGAUGCAGCAACGCCGCGUGAGUGAGGAAGUAUUUCGGUAUGUAAAGCUCUAUCAGCAGGGAAUAGAAAAGAAGGUACCUGAAAAAGAAGCCCCGGCUAACUACGUGCCAGCAGCCGCGGUAAUACGUAGGGGGCAAGCGUUAUCCGGAUUUACUGGGUGUAAAGGGGGCGCAGACGGCAGCGCAAGCCAGGAGUGAAAGCCCGGGGCCCAACCCCGGGACUGCUCUUGGAACUGCGCGGCUGGAGUGCAGGAGGGGCAGGCGGAAUUCCUGGUGUAGCGGUGAAAUGCGUAGAUAUCAGGAGGAACACCGGUGGCGAAGGCGGCCUGCUGGACUGCGACUGACGUUGAGGCCCGAAAGCGUGGGGAGCAAACAGGAUUAGAUACCCCUGUA